AUAUCAUGAUGAAACAUUGGUUCCCGUACGAUUACCGAAGUUAAGCAACCUCGAGCUCGGUCAGUACAUAGAUGGGUGACAACUUGGGCAUACCAAGUGCUGUAAG
Acanthosepion pharaonis is the source of this 106-nucleotide non-coding RNA. The record is from the annotation of a GenBank genome assembly. NCBI's taxonomy places the organism in Eukaryota, Metazoa, Mollusca, Cephalopoda, Sepiida, Sepiidae.